Long non-coding RNA from Gadus macrocephalus (Pacific cod), 197 nucleotides. RefSeq lists it as uncharacterized. The record is from RefSeq and is a predicted model, not a curated record. The transcript is spliced from 2 exons. NCBI's taxonomy places the organism in Eukaryota, Metazoa, Chordata, Actinopteri, Gadiformes, Gadidae.
GGUCACGGUCAGCAAUCCACACUUCUCAGAGGGCUGUGGAUUGAAACAAACAUUGGUUUCUUACCAAAGUGAUGGAAGGUGCAGAGCCAAGAGAAGCCCACACAGACCACCUCUUAAAUAGCAAAAUCCCAAACAGAACACUCGGGUGAGAGGAAGGACAGCCGUAAGACACCUAAAAGUAGCACCUACACCAAACU